This 449-nucleotide ribosomal RNA is filed under the name uncultured bacterium. Its description in RNAcentral is "partial 16S ribosomal RNA". It matches the Rfam family "Bacterial small subunit ribosomal RNA", at positions 29 to 523 of the family's 1533-position model. The record is from RNAcentral.
AACGAACGCUGGCGGCAUGCCUAACACAUGCAAGUCGAACGAGAUCUUCGGGUCUAGUGGCGCACGGGUGCGUAACGCGUGGGAAUCUGCCCUUUGGUUCGGAAUAACAGUUGGAAACGACUGCUAAUACCGGAUGAUGACGAAAGUCCAAAGAUUUAUCGCCAGAGGAUGAGCCCGCGUAGGAUUAGCUAGUUGGUGUGGUAAAGGCGCACCAAGGCGACGAUCCUUAGCUGGUCUGAGAGGAUGAUCAGCCACACUGGGACUUAGACACGGCCCAGACUCCUACGGGAGGCAGCAGUGGGGAAUAUUGGACAAUGGGCGGAAGCCUGAUCCAGCAAUGCCGCGUGAGUGAUGAAGGCCUUAGGGUUGUAAAGCUCUUUUACCCGGGAUGAUAAUGACAGUACCGGGAGAAUAAGCUCCGGCUAACUCCGUGCCAGCCGCCGCAGUAA